GAGCAUGUGGUUUAAUUCGAAGCAACGCGAAGAACCUUACCAAAUCUUGACAUCCCUCUGACAAACUGUGUAAAGCAGUCUUCUUCGGACAGAGGUGACAGGUGGUGCAUGGUUGUCGUCAGCUCGUGUCGUGAGAUGUUGGGUUAAGUCCCGCAACGAGCGCAACCCUUGUCUUUAGUAGCCAGCAUUUCGGAUGGGCACUCUAGAGAGACUGCCAGGGAUAACCUGGAGGAAGGUGGGGAUGACGUCAAAUCAUCAUGCCCCUUAUGAUUUGGGCUACACACGUGCUACAAUGGCGUAAACAAAGGGAAGCGACCCUGUGAAGGCAAGCAAAUCCCAAAAAUAACGUCUCAGUUCGGAUUGUAGUCUGCAACUCGACUACAUGAAGCUGGAAUCGCUAGUAAUCGCGAAUCAGAAUGUCGCGGUGAAUACGUUCCCGGGCA
Molecule: ribosomal RNA, 443 nt
Filed under: uncultured Eubacteriales bacterium
Lineage: Bacteria; Bacillati; Bacillota; Clostridia; Eubacteriales
Description: bacterial SSU rRNA
Rfam family: Bacterial small subunit ribosomal RNA
Source: RNAcentral